This 301-nucleotide ribosomal RNA is filed under the name uncultured bacterium. RNAcentral's name for it is "partial 16S ribosomal RNA". It matches the Rfam family "Bacterial small subunit ribosomal RNA", at positions 509 to 809 of the family's 1533-position model. The record is from RNAcentral.
CAGUCGCCGCGGUAAUACAGAAGAUGCAAGCGUUAUCCGGAAUUAUUGGGCGUAAAGGGCUCGCAGGCGGUUUCUUAAGUCUGAUGUGAAAGCCCCCGGCUCAACCGGGGAGGGUCAUUGGAAACUGGGAAACUUGAGUGCAGAAGAGGAGAGUGGAAUUCCACGUGUAGCGGUGAAAUGCGUAGAGAUGUGGAGGAACACCAGUGGCGAAGGCGACUCUCUGGUCUGUAACUGACGCUGAGGAGCGAAAGCGUGGGGAGCGAACAGGAUUAGAUACCCGCGUAGUCCCUGUCUCUUAUAU